Molecule: RNA transcript, 1992 nt
Organism: Solanum dulcamara
Lineage: Eukaryota; Viridiplantae; Streptophyta; Magnoliopsida; Solanales; Solanaceae
Exons: 4
Source: RefSeq, a predicted model, not a curated record
CUCCUUACGCCUCUGCUCCCUCUAAGCCGCCACACACCCUUACCUCUCAGCUCUUAUCUUCCUCACCUUCCUCCACAUGCCACUCAAACGAGAAAGAACCCAACGCUCAAACCCCUUUUUCCGAUAUCUCUCCCUCUUCUCUCCCAACUCCCCGCCUCCCUCAUCUAUUUCCCCUCUCCUCUUCUUUCUUUCACUCUUAUCUUAAACAAUGGCGGGACGACAACAAAAGGACCGUCACCGCCACAUGCAGCCGACAAAUCUGCCAACGCCGCAUCUGUCCCGUCGUUAUCUCUCAUCGACAAAAUAGUGACAACGAUGAACACCACCGCUGUAUAGCCAUGGAUUCCGGCGAAGUAGCAAAUCCUGAGUAAGCGCAAGUUACCUUGGUCGAAGUUGAUUAGGUCGAAUCAUCGAGAGUUCAUCAUUUUUUAAAGACGAGUCUAUAGGAGAUCCGUCCAGGUACUUGUUCUCUUGGUACUCAUACUACACUCUACAUCUACUUUCGUGGUGCAAAACCAAGCACCAGCAAUCGUCGCGGAUAAAUCGAGCCUAUGAUAGUCAGCUCCGGAGACUAGGGGAUGGUUCGUACACGCGGUACCACCAGUGGUGAUGACCCACCAAGGCCGGGCAGGCCUAGAGGCUUGCCCCGUGGCAUGGGCAGGGGUUCAGUAUCAGCUCUCGAUCCAGAUCUAGCUCCUGAGUAUAUGGAGGAGCAUCAGGACACCCAUAUUCCUCUUUAGUCGAAGGGGCCACCACCAGAAGCACAACCUCCGCCACAUCAGUUACGACUCCAACAUUACAGGCAACAAUUGCAAAACUCCUCACGGCUAUUAGGGUUAUACCACAGGCACCAUCUCUAGCGGCGGACGUACCUAGCCAGCACUUGAGGUUCAGCUGCCUCCACCAGUUGUGUCACCCCCGCCCGAAGUUUCGGAGGGUGUCACGUCUCUACAUCAUACAGAAAGGUUCUACACCCUUGCAAGAUGUAGCCCGGGCAUUCCAUGAGGCAAUUGAUCUUCUAGCGGAUUCUAUACUUCCAGAUUGGUGGUGAGAUCCUGAGAUUUCGGAUCAUCACUAGUCUAUCCUUAUUUUUCAGUCUUUAGUUCUUUUCGAGACUUAUGUGUAUUUUCAUAUUCAAAUAUUGUAUUAGAUGCUCUUAUACUUAUGACACCAGGUUUUGGAUUUAUUUCCUUAUUAUCCUUCUUUUCCUUUCUAUUGUGGCCCGACUUUCCCCUUGGAGUCUUGCAUGAGUUUUACUUUUAGGCUUACACAUCGGGAUUGGGAAUGGAAUGUGUGUCAUCAUGACCUUGGUAUUUGAGUCGUGACAAAUUGGUAUCAGAGCGUUAGGUUACCGGUCUUAUAAGUUAAAGAAUAAGGUGUCUAGUAGAGUCUUGUUGAUCGGUAUGUAGGCGUCCGUACUUAUCUUCGAAAGGCUACAAGAUAUUUAUUAGGAGAAAUUCCUUCUUUUGAUUCCUUCAUGCGAGUUAUUCAUGUCAAGUGUUGCAUACUUCUAAUCUAUUCCUUCUGCACAGAUGGUGAGGACUAGAGCCAAAGCCAUCGAGAGUGAGGUUGCCCCAAUUCACAGCCGAUGCAGAGGAUGCGGUAGAGUCAAGGGACAAGGCCGAGCGAAGGGACCGCCUACUUAUGGACGAGCUAGAGAGCCAUCACCUGAGAAUGUGUAUGAGCAUGAGGAUGAGUAUGAGCAGCAGACUGAGGAGCAGCAGACUGAGGAGCUGAGGCCAGCCAAGCCUCCUGUGGUUCUUGAUAAUGCUCUGAUGCUUCAGGAGUUACUAGUUAGACUAUUGGCUAGAUUGGAUGGUGCUCCUACCCCAUGUGUUAUCAUAGGUACUUCAGGCUCUCCUAUCGCAGUCGGUACUACACAAGUUUAGGGGCCUAGUGUUGAAUUUCAGACUCCGGGUUCUUCUUCAGUGCCUUCUAUCGUACCUCCGAGAUUUGUAGCUCUGCGAGUUUCUGCUAGUGUUGCUAUGUUAG